Cyanistes caeruleus (blue tit) is the source of this 965-nucleotide non-coding RNA. Lineage: Eukaryota; Metazoa; Chordata; Aves; Passeriformes; Paridae. The record is from RefSeq and is a predicted model, not a curated record.
CUUUUUCCUAUCUUUCUGGUGUUAAUCUGAGGAAUGCCGAGUGCUCUUGUCAGUGACAUAUGUGCGUGCGGUUCUUCAUCCUAAUGAAUCUGGGGCUUUCUCUUCUGAACCCAAUGAAUUUUCGAUUUAAAAACAAAGACAACAACAACAAAAGAAAACAUACACAGCCCCCAAAAAUUACACAGGCUGCCAAAACAAUUGCUUGUUCUAUUUUGUAGAAUAUAGUCUCAAGUCAGGCUUAAAUGACGUUUGUUUCUUGAGACUUGUUAGAUAACGCUGAUGAAAUGUAUGGCUGUGUUCAUACAGUUACUGCCCUGCAAUCUUCCAGCCUGUCUGAUUUACAGGGUGUGUUAGAAUGGAGAUCUCAGCCCCUGGCAGGCAGCACUUCUGGGGGCAGCUGUGGGAUCCUGCUGCUGAGCAUUUAAUGCAAGAGCUGCUGUUUCACUGCAAUUUAGAUUUCAGCAUGUUCAGGGAGACAGCUGCUGCCUUUCAUUUUUCUUAGUACACCAGGCUGCAGUAGGGAACGUUUCUGUUGGAGCCGACAUGUGGUGGGGGGCAAGAGAAUAGGAGGGAGUGGAGGAUAGAGCUUCUGACUUUAUCGUGUUGUUCAUUCAUGAUUGUUGGGAGCAGCAGCCGAAUCAGAAGAGUUGAACCCUAUUGAUUGGUGUUGUGUUUUCUUUUGUGCACAGGGCCUAAAGUUAUUUUUUGUAGAUCUGUAGAGUUCAGUGAAGAAAAAGAGGGUUGGGAAGACAGAUGUAGAUUAUUGCUUGAGGAGCAGCUAGCUAACUAGGUGUAAGGGAAGUGUUUAAGAGAAACAGUGAAUUUAGAGACUUCUGCGAGUAGUGGAUUCAAAAACUUCUCCUAGGAAUAUGUUAGGUUUUCAUUAGUUUCUGGAUCGUCUUAGGAAGCAUAAGAAUUCCAAAUGGAAACUGAAACCAAACUAAUAAAACCUUUCUUGAAAAGAA